GGUUGUGGCUCAGUGGUAGAGCACUCUUCUAGGAUGUGUAAGGCCCUGGGUUUGAUCCUCAGCACCA
This 67-nucleotide transfer RNA is filed under the name Marmota monax (woodchuck). RNAcentral's name for it is "tRNA.Pro". Lineage: Eukaryota; Metazoa; Chordata; Mammalia; Rodentia; Sciuridae. The record is from RNAcentral.